GAUUUUGCGAAGGACUAGACCUUAAUUCCUUAAUC
This is a regulatory RNA element of Leeuwenhoekiella blandensis MED217, 35 nucleotides long. It matches the Rfam family "S4-Flavobacteria ribosomal protein leader". NCBI's taxonomy places the organism in Bacteria, Pseudomonadati, Bacteroidota, Flavobacteriia, Flavobacteriales, Flavobacteriaceae. The record is from Rfam.